Molecule: ribosomal RNA, 468 nt
Filed under: uncultured bacterium
Lineage: Bacteria
Description: partial 16S ribosomal RNA
Rfam family: Bacterial small subunit ribosomal RNA
Source: RNAcentral
GACGAACGCUGGCGGCGUGCUUAACACAUGCAAGUCGAACGGAAAGGCCCUGCUUUUGUGGGGUGCUCGAGUGGCGAACGGGUGAGUAACACGUGAGUAACCUGCCCUUGACUUUGGGAUAACUUCAGGAAACUGGGGCUAAUACCGGAUAGGAGCUCCUGCUGCAUGGUGGGGGUUGGAAAGUUUCGGCGGUUGGGGAUGGACUCGCGGCUUAUCAGCUUGUUGGUGGGGUAGUGGCUUACCAAGGCUUUGACGGGUAGCCGGCCUGGGAGGGUGGACGGCCACAUUGGGACUGAGAUACGGCCCAGACUCCUACGGGAGGCAGCAGUGGGGAAUAUUGCACAAUGGGCGGAAGCCUGAUGCAGCAACGCCGCGUGCGGGAUGACGGCCUUCGGGUUGUAAACCGCUUUCGCCUGUGACGAAGCGUGAGUGACGGUAAUGGGUAAAGAAGCACCGGCUAACUACGUG